UGUUUAGUUAUUAUUAUUAUUAUUUUUAUUUUUUUUUUGUAUUUGUGUAAAAAUGCAUUUUAGGUGCGGCACCACAGUGCGGAGCACCAUGACUGGCUAUAAGCCGCACCUGAUUGACUUUUAAAAAUCUAUCUAGCAAUUUCACUAGAGUAUUAAUUAAGGGCUGUCCUCUGUGGUUCGCUAAGCAAACUGUGAAUGUUCGGACACACAUGCAAAUCGAAGGUUAAGUCUUUUGACCCGCUGCACCUUUGGAGCCCGCCAUCGGCUUUAUUUGAGUUGUCGAUAUGCGACAUGGCUGUGUUUUAUUUAUGAAUUGCGCCUCGCACAAGCUGGCACCAUAUGAAUUAAUUGGUAUCGGACGACUAUUCAAUGCCUAGAGUUUUUCUAAACAAAUCGUUAAUAAAUAUAGUAGCUGGUGGCUGGUGGCUGGUGGCUAGUGGCCAAAACAAAAAACUUAUGCCCGCAUACAGAUCAAAAAGUGGUUUGGGUGCUUAAUAUUAAUCGGCUUUAAUUGACACGCGGCGCCAUCAUAGCAUAUGUCUGGGUCUGGCUUUUCGAGGUGUUAGCAAACACGUUUUCAAAUGCCGCAAAAACAAAAAAAAAAAAGAUUACUUGUCGUUACUUACGGCCAAGUGCCGGAGCGUCGGCGACGCGUGGUGCUCG
RNAcentral lists this small RNA (663 nucleotides) under Drosophila virilis. Its description in RNAcentral is "GJ26991". The record is from RNAcentral. Lineage: Eukaryota; Metazoa; Arthropoda; Insecta; Diptera; Drosophilidae.